GUCUACUUGAAGGGAGAGGGUAGGAAAAGGGAGAAGAUCAGGAAAAAUAUUGGGUACUGGGCUUCAUACCUGGGUGAUGAAAUAGUAGUAUGUACAACAAAUCCCCAUAACACAUGUUUACCUAUGCAGCAAACCUUCGCAUGUACCCCUAUACCUAAAGUUUAAAAAAAUAUUAAGAUCUAGUUUAAAGAAAAGGUAUAUUCCAUUAAAUUCAGAGCUGGUAAGACCCCCAUCUCAUAGACCAAAAAGCUCUGAGAUCUAGAUUGGGUUUUCACUGAAGUCCAACUUUUUAUCCAAAGAUUUCUGAGAAAAUACCUGACCGGAUUUCUUCCACUUAGGAAGAUAUUCUUAGGGUGCAAGUACAGAGUAGCAGUUUAGAUUCUAUUCUGCUAUUACAUUAAAAAAAACAUUUCUAAAUACUCAUUCACCUUCUAAAUCACCCAGCAAUAUGCUGAUGAAAGCUGUUUUCUUUCUUGUAACUACAGGUGUCAGAUGCAUCACAAAAGCAGAAGUGCCCUUUCAGCUCUUCUCUGUGCCAUUCCUUGUCAAUUUCAUGCUGCCUACAGCAACAACAUAAUACUGAAAACAGCCAUGAUGUCACUGGAAGUGCUCUGUGAUUGACAGAGAGGGGCAGUCGUAGUCAGGGGUGGCUCCUCAGAGAAUUCAGAACUCACUGGCUGUCCUCUAGGGGCUCAUCCCUUGAUUUGAAGGAGGGGUAGAAUAUUCUCUGCAUGAGAAAGCAGAGAUGGGAAGUGAUAUAGGUAUGUAUGGAUGGUCAGUUACUCUAAAUAUAGUUAGACAGGACAGCCUGAAUACCAAGGUCUUGGUUAGGUCCUCUGUAACAAGUCCUAGAGGCCCAGAAAUGUGAUGACAGUGAGGCAGAUUUCUUAACUAUCGCACUUGUUGAAAUGAGUAGAAGGUGACAUUUGUUUGGAAAUCCCUCCCCAGCCUUUGUUCCCAGAACUCAGCAUUCAUUUUCCUGUGCCUACAUAACGUAGUUCCUUAGAUAAACACUACUACUGCAACAAAUCAUAGAGUGCCAGGCAUUACCAGAUGGUUACAUAGAAUUAAAAAUAUAUGCAAAAAAAUAAGUUCUGAAGUAAAAAUGGAUAAAGAUAUAACUCUCACUAAUUCCUAAAAUUGCUUGUUAUUACAGCCAGGCUGCUACAAACACAGUGUCUUUAUCCACCCAAAACUUUGUUCCCAGCAUUCUUUUCCUCUGACAUUCUCUAUACCUCUCUAUUCAUGAAAGCCUACCCAUUUAUUAAGGACCAACUAAGGAAGAACAUCCUUUAUGGAUCCUUUCUUGGUAAUUUAUGUAUAGUAAUUAUAGCCUUUACUGAAAUCUUAUUGUCUGCCUUUUGUUUGUCCUUCAAUCUUGACUGUUCUUUCCUCCCAUUUUAGGAUCUCUUUUCUCCUCAACAGAAUCUAAAUUCCUUGGGAUAAGAGACCAUGUUUAAACUUUUCCCUCUUCUGAGCCCACAGGACCUGGACAGAGGUGAACUGUUUGCAGACAGAGUCCCACUAGCUGGAAAACAGUGAUCUAGUAACAAGAACUUUAGGCUGGAUGUUAGAGAACCUGAAUCUUCCAGGCACUUCUUUGGACUAAUCAUUGACAUUUUUGGAUUUUGGAUUGCCUUUGGCAGAGGAUGUUAUCAAUCAAAUAUGUGUGGUCUUCGUUCCAUAGUACACAAUUAUUGUGGGAUGUGGUUGUCCUCCAAAGACUACACUUCAUCGUAAGACAUAAGCAGAAGUGAUGUGUGUCACUUCCAGUCUAAGUAGGCCCCUUCUCCUCUUCAUUCCUUUUCCACUGGCUUGAUGUGGAGAAACAGUGACCUUAGAAGCCACAUGUUGAAGGCACUGGAUCCAUCACAUGGGAAGAGUCAGCGUUCCUGAUUUAAUGGCUGCAGGAAAGCAGCCUGCCAAUCAACAAUGCCCAUGCUGAACUUUACAUGCGUGCAAAAUAAAAUUAUAUUUUGUUUAAACUAUUAUCUAUUUUGGGGUUUGUUAUAGCAGCUAGUAUUAUCCUAACUGAUAUGUUUGGAGAGACGUCUACCCAUCUUACAAAAUGUAAUUAUCAAUCUGUUAAAUAUCAAAAUGUCAGAAGCAUCAAGUAAAUGCCUGUGGCAAUAUUUUCUUGUUUACCUGGUGCUUAUAUUCCAAGAGCAUUGUGUUAAAAGCUUGCAUAAUAGCUUGGUGGUUCAAACGACUCAUAAACUUAAGUGUUGUGGGUUCCAGAGUAUGUAAGAAUAACAGCAGAGACUGUCUUAGAACCUUUAAGGUGCUUAUUGGGUAGGAUUCAGUUAUGGGGAAAGGAGGGGCUUGGAGGAGAUGAUCAUUUAUCAUCAUGACAAAUACCAGAAGAGUUUUACGUAAAGAAAUUGAAUAAGACUAAUUUACCAUUGAGUUAUAUUUCCAGAACUUUAAUGAAUUUUUGUCAAAUGAACUUACAGAGUAAUCCAAAUACUUAUCCUUGACUUUGCUGUUGUCUCUGCCUUAAGUAUAGAAUUUUCAAACUGAAUAGGCAAAAAAAAAAAAAAAAGAAAAGAAAGAAAGAAAUAGGAAUACCUAAACUUGGAUUUGAAUAUGAAUAGCCCAUGACCACAUUAUCUUUUUGACACUUAAUAGCUGCAACACAUAUAUAUUCAUAUUACUUUCCAUUCUCUCCCUCUCAGAAAACCUAGCCUGAAGACCUUUAUAGAAGAAACUUUUAGUCUCUGCUUUUCUUCAGGUGCUUAGUAAAUUAUGCAUUAUUAACAAACCCUGACAUCUUUGACACAUCGAAGUGGUCAAAGACGCCAAAAUCAGUUUAACCUAUCCUCUGCCAAAAUAAAUAAAAUCACGCUCUUCUAUGAAAUGGAUAUAUUUUGGGGUAGACUUUAACAUCAGUGGGUUUCAAGAGAAGAAUAUAAAUGAAGAUAUACAGGCCAUGUGUCUAAAUAUUUAACAGUUAUAAAUGCAGCUAACAAACUUCACAAAAUCAUUUUCAAAAAUACUUUGCUGUGAGGACUAAAUAGGUCAAUGCAUGUUAAGAGUGUAGAAGCACACCUGACAUGUAUGAGAACCCAAUAAAUGUUAGUUGCUGGUGAUGAGGAUGAUGACUUCUCUCCUCUAGAACAUUGCUUGAUGAAUAAAUGACUGUGAAUGAUUAUUGAGUGGUGAAGAUUAUCUGGACCAUUGGGUGCCUUCUUGAUUAAUAAAACAGUGUCCAAGAGAAUGGUAUCAAUACAACCGACCCCAAAUACAUACCAAAGGGACUAUAAUAAAAGACUUUAGGCACUCAAGCUUUCAUAGGCACUAAUUCUAUAAUAAGUUUAAAACUGAGAAUUCUAAGAUAAUUUAAAUUUUACAUUUAUAUUUAUGAAUGAUAAGCUAAGUGAAAGCUAAAUGCUAAAGGAAAACUUUGCAGAAAACUGAUUGUAAUCAGUAAUUCUGGUACUGUUGGAUUAAUAUUUUGGCUUAGUAACGUUAUCACUUAAAACUAAUGGGGCCAAUAUAUAUUUUAGAACAUUCAACAAUAGCUUCUAAAUUAUAGUUGUGUUCCCUAGCACUGCUAAAAUUAAUGAUCUUGUAAAAUUCUUAUUAUAAGAAUAUAUUUUCAAGUACAGAAAACUCUGCCAUAAAUUAUUUUACAUAAAUAAUUAUUUUUAAAAAUCAAUAAGACUAUUUUAAAGUUUUGGAACUAAAAAAAGAUUUUCUUAAAAAAUUGCUUUGAAAGUGAUUUAUGAAAAAAAAUCAACCUUUCUACUAUAAUAAUUUUUAAAAGGACUAUCUUUUCUAUUAAAAAAUUUAAUUUAAUUUUACAGGCUGUUACUCUAUAAAUAGAAUAAUCCAUUUUAAAUGGACAAGGUGAAGUAUAUAAAUGACAUUAUUAGUGUUGCUACUAACAAGUUUUGAACUAUGAAUAUUAACACAUAAAUAAAACCAAACCAAAGAGGAUACAAAUCUUAGAGUAAAUGAAUAUUAGGAGUGGCAUACCAAUUAUUUCCUUAGUUCAAGGCGUAAAUGGAUCAAAAUAAUUGAGUAAUAUUGGCAUCUUCCUGCAUUAUAUAUUGAAAAAAAUACAUUUAUAAAUAAUUAAAAAAACAGCAGCAACACUUAUAUAAAAACUGUUACAUUUAAAACUUACCUUAACUUUCUCAUUUUAUAAUAUUCUGUUAUUAGCUGGUAGCUAAUAGUCACCGCAAAAUGGCUAAUGAAAUUGAUAAAUCACUGCAAAACUCAAGGUAUUGUAUUUUAAAGUAAGAAUAGGAUGUGCUUAUAGGACAGAAAUGCCCACUAUUAUUUAUACUCAUCAUGAUUAAUAUAAAUCUGGGGUACUUGGCUGUAGUUGUCAAAUAUCACCACUGUGAAAUAGCCAUUCUGUUAAAGGUAGCUACAACUUUUCAAAAGUGUUUUAAAACUUUCCAGUUUCUAAAAUACUUUUAUUCUAAAAAUUUGAAAUAUGCUGUGUUUAUGUAACUGAGUAUGUAUUUAAAUUUGUCCAAUGUCUGGGUACUACUCUUAAAGAUACUGGAAUCCUUUACCAAGAAUCUACUUUUCAGUGCUAGUCUCAGCUCCAGCCUUGGUGAAGCGAAGGAAGGUAGGCAAUGAUAAAAUGGCAGACUCAGAGGGGCAAGGGUCACACUUCAUUAACUUGAAUUCCAAUCAGCCCAUUCCAAUUAAAACACAAAAGUAAGAGUGUGAUUUUACUUAUUUUGGCAGAAGAUAAACUGAUUUUAGCAUCUUGGACCACUUCGAUAUGUCAAAGAUGUGUUCUGAACUUAUGUCUUAUCAUUUAGCUCUCAUUCCUCAACACUUAGAUCUGUUUUACUAAACGUCAAUCACCACACUUUCAACAUCCCUUUUCUCUACCCUUCUGCUAAUCAUAAAUAGCUAUUGGGAAAGUCAUGGAGUUGUGUUGAUCAAGCCCACUAGAUAGUUUGCUAUCUGCUUUGAGCUUGGCUGUCUCUUGGUAGUUAUCACAUUACAUUCUGAAAGUUUCAUUAAUUAUUCAAAUUGCUUGUAAACUCCUUGAAGAUAGGGACUCAAUUGUUUAUGCCUUUGCAGCUUGAGUUCCUAAACUUGCCUGGGUAUCUAAGAAAGUCCAUUCAUUUAGAUAUUAAUUCAAAGUUUAUUAUGAAUAAUUACUAUAAAGAAUCAGAUUAUCUAAUGUUGGGUUUCACAUGGUAUAUGAAAACUAGGAAAAUUUAGCAGCUGUGAAAUAAUUCUCCUUCCUAUUUUUUUUUCUUUUGGCUUCACCUUAGACAAUGUGAAAGCCACUAUACAAGAAGUGAAAGGACAAAUAAUAAGAAUAAUGCAUCACACCUUUGUUAAGAGGGCACCAGAUUUAAGGUUUCUCUACUUAUCCUUUUCAUAAACAUCUCAGAACAAGUGAGAACCUACAGAUGCUGCAUAUUGUAAUUCCUGGGCACAUUUGGGUGGGAUAAGCAGAAAGAAGCUUUGAAUCUCUCCAGCCUGUGCCCUGCUUUCCAACCAGGGUUUUCCACCCUGUAAACUGCUAUCGUGUGUACUGCCUUCCACAAAGAUUUGAAAUUCAUCAAACAGACAAAGUGUAUACUUAAUACUCACAUGAGGGAAUACAGAAUGCCUCUCAAUACAUCAAACUCCUAAACCUUUUACAUCCUUCAUUUUUAAGCUACAUGGAUUUUGAUUUGUACAAUUUUAAAAAUAUUCUGAAGCCUAGUCAAUCUAACAGUAAAAGCACUGUUGCACAGUAAGAAAUCAAGAAAUACAAUUCAGCAAACCUGGUAUAGUUGGUCCCCAGGGAAGCUUUGUUCCAAUUCGGUUUGUCAUAGCCCAGAUCCAUCAUGUCAUGCUAGCCUAACUUACUACUACUGUCUUUCAUUUUUUUCCCCCUUUUUGGCACACUCCAACUAUUUUCUGUUAAACUAGUGCUGUCACAAGAAAACAUAUAAAAAUGCUCUUUUGCAAACACACUGUUUGAUUCUCUCCUGAACUCUCCAGAGCUACAGAUUUCUCUCACUGUCUUCAUCGGGGUGAAUGUUGACAGAUCACUGAACCUUACUGUUGGUGGUGACAGGCUUGAUGCUGUUUUGUGCAAGGUGGAGAAAAAAACAAAAUAAUAAUAAUAAAAAAAAGGUUUCUGUGCCUUGCAUCUAGAAGGUCCCUGAUUCAACAACAAAGGCUUAUGUUCAAAGAUGAUUAGCUUAAAGGCAUUUCAGAGAUUUCUGAUUGUAGCAGCAGUUGGGUGUCUUGCUACUGGGUGAAAUAUGUAUUCCCCUGAGAACAAAGGCAGCAGCAAUCCUCUUCUGCUGAGAUGGCACCUUUAAUAAUUCCAUGUAUUUAUCAGUAUGUGUGUCAAGAUCUUAGGGAUUUUGCCCUUCAGGUGAAGCUAAGAAUAGAUAGAGUGGAUAGGGUCUUAAACAGUCCUCUAAGGUAUCUGCAGACAAAAAA
Cebus imitator (Panamanian white-faced capuchin) is the source of this 6417-nucleotide long non-coding RNA. RefSeq lists it as uncharacterized. The transcript has 2 exons. The record is from RefSeq and is a predicted model, not a curated record. Lineage: Eukaryota; Metazoa; Chordata; Mammalia; Primates; Cebidae.